UGGGGGAAUUUUGGACAAUGGGCGAAAGCCUGAUCCAGCAACGCCGCGUGAGGGAUGACGGCCUUCGGGUUGUAAACCUCUUUCAGUACCGACGAAGCGAAAGUGACGGUAGGUACAGAAGAAGGACCGGCCAACUACGUGCCAGCAGCCGCGGUAAUACGUAGGGUCCGAGCGUUGUCCGGAAAUUAUUGGGCGUAAAUGGGCUCGUAGGCGGUUUGUCGCGUCGGGAGUGAAAAACAGCGGGCUUAACUCGUUGCUUGCUUUCGAUACGGGCAGACUAGAGGUAUGCAGGGGAGAAUGGAAUUCCUGGUGUAGCGGUGAAAUGCGCAGAUAUCAGGAGGAACACCGGUGGCGAAGGCGGUUCUCUGGGCAUUACCUGACGCUGAGGAGCGAAAGUGUGGGGAGCGAACAGGAUUAGAUACCCCUGGUAGUCCACACCGUAAAACGUUGGGCGCUAGGUGUGGGGUCCUUUCCACGG
RNAcentral lists this ribosomal RNA (478 nucleotides) under uncultured bacterium. Its description in RNAcentral is "partial 16S ribosomal RNA". It matches the Rfam family "Bacterial small subunit ribosomal RNA", at positions 354 to 837 of the family's 1533-position model. The record is from RNAcentral.